UUAAAACAAACACUAAGGAAGUUCUUCACACAACACACUGUCAGCACAUGGAACUCAUUGCCCGGGGAUGUUGUGAUGGACAAAACUAUAAUGGAUUUCAAAAAAGAACAUGAUAAGUUCAUGGAGGAUAGGUCCAUCAAUGGCUAUUAGCCAAGA
Long non-coding RNA from Gopherus evgoodei (Goodes thornscrub tortoise), 156 nucleotides. RefSeq lists it as uncharacterized. NCBI's taxonomy places the organism in Eukaryota, Metazoa, Chordata, Testudines, Testudinidae. The record is from RefSeq and is a predicted model, not a curated record. The transcript has 3 exons.